GACGAACGCUGGCGGCGUGCUUAACACAUGCAAGUCGAACGGAAAGGCCCUGCUUUUGUGGGGUGCUCGAGUGGCGAACGGGUGAGUAACACGUGAGUAACCUGCCUUUGACUUUGGGAUAACUUCAGGAAACUGGGGCUAAUACCGCAUAGGAGUUCCUGCUGCAUGGUGGGGGCUGGAAAGUUGCGACGGCUGGGGUUGGACGCGCGGCUUCUCAGUUUGUUGGUGGGGUAGUGGCUUCCCAAGGCUUUGACGGGUAGCCGGCCUGGGAGGGUGACAGGGCACAGACGGACUGGGGAGGCACCCGGAGGGCUACGGGGGGAAGGGGUGGAGGACAGAGCGAGAUGGGCGGAGGCAGGGUGGAAGGACGCCGGGUCGUGGAGGACGGUUGUCGGGGAGGAAAGCGCUUGAGCCUGGGACGAAGCGUGAGUGACGGUAACUGGUAAAGAAGCAACGGCUAACUACGUG
This 468-nucleotide ribosomal RNA is filed under the name uncultured bacterium. RNAcentral's name for it is "partial 16S ribosomal RNA". It matches the Rfam family "Bacterial small subunit ribosomal RNA", at positions 28 to 507 of the family's 1533-position model. The record is from RNAcentral.